Molecule: long non-coding RNA, 575 nt
Filed under: Citrus maxima (pomelo)
Lineage: Eukaryota; Viridiplantae; Streptophyta; Magnoliopsida; Sapindales; Rutaceae
Description: long non-coding RNA (CMAX_LNC002925)
Source: RNAcentral
UGUCUCUUUCUCUCUCUCUCUCUAUUUUCCUCUUCUAUUUAUAUCUAAUGCCAGUUUCUGAUUCUGGUUCAGGGAAACAAUUUCUUAAUUCUAAAGAAAAUUUCGAAGGUUUUGAAGAAGAAGAAGAGGAUACAAAAAAUUUCGGGACAAGCAAAAUGAGGAAGAGGCAAGUGGUGUUGAGAAGAGAGGAGCCAUCAAGAAACUCAACUGCUUCAUCUGUCACAGUGAGGAGUGUGAGGUAUGCAGAGUGCCAAAAGAAUCAUGCUGCCGGUGUCGGUGGUUAUGCUGUUGAUGGUUGCAGAGAGUUCAUGGCCAGUGGAGAGGAAGGCACAGCUGCUGCACUCACUUGUGCUGCAUGUGGCUGCCAUAGAAGCUUUCACAGAAGGGAAGUUGACACUGAGGUCGUGUGUGAGUGCUCUUCACCGUCUUCAACCGCGACUUAACUAGAGAUGAAACUAAAGCUUAAUCAAGGAUUGUUAAUCAGUGGAGGUUAAUUCAUGUCAUGUGUUAACUUUGCUUGUUUCUCUAUAUAUCUGGGUUUGAGGGUUUUGAUCUUAAGUACUUUCUCUCUCUCU